CCUCGGAUUGCCGGAAAGGCAACCGAAAACCUCAAACAGUAAGCUGUAACCUAAAAACAGUCUUACCGGAGUGCAGGGAGCUAGGGUUAGCCGCCGGUGGCCGGGAGGCGGGCGGUCCGGCCGGAGAUGGAAGCAGUCGGUCCGAGAGGUCCGGGGAGGGUGAUGGCCGGCGGCGGGCGGCAACCGGUGGCGCGGCGGCUGAGAUCCACGCCUCCCACUCCUUCUCGGGUUUGAUCUUCCCGGCGGCGCGGCGGCGGCCGGAAGAGGUCGGGGUGGCGACGAACCGGCGGCGGAGGCCGAGGAGAAGGCGGUGCAACCCCCGGUUGGCGGCGGCGGCGCUUGGAAGCCGAGCGGACCCGACCUCGGCCCGCACGGGUCUGGGCGGCCGCAGGUGGUCUCAGCGGCGACCGGCGGCGCGCGGGGACGGCGGGGGACGAGCGCGCCGGGUUGCCGGAGGUUGCCGGGGUCGACAGGAGGGCGGCGCAGCCAAAGGGAGGCGUCGGCAGCUCGGGGAUACCGAGAUCACCCAGGCUCGGCCUGGGUGACUGCGGGUGGCCACAGGUAGCUGGGGCGGCGCCGGCGGCGCGUGUGGGCGGCGACGGCCGGCGGGGACGGCGCCGGGGAGAUCCAGGAGGGUGACGCUUCCAAUCCCGAGCGGCAGCAGGGCGAGGAGGAGGAGAUCCCACGGCCUCGGCCAGAUCUGCUUAGUUCUGGCCGCAUCUAGCCAGGGCGGUGAUGGCGGCGCUCGGGGGCGGCAGAGACGGCGCCGGGGUUAGGGUUGCAGCCUAGGACGAGGCCAGAGGCUAGUGGAUCUCUCCCUGAGGGCCACGACAGAGAUGAAGGGUCGAUCUAUGGUGGUUAGGUAUAGAAUAUGGUGGAGGAGAAGCCACCUGUAACAUACUGGACCUUUGCAAAUUGCGAGGUUCUAGUGAUUGAAUGUGUUUCGAGCUUUCCCACACUUGGUGGAGGGUUGUAAAAUGCUUUUCCGACCUAAAAAGUUCGUAAACUAGAAUUCUGGACAAGUCCUGAGAGUUUUUACUCUCGGGGACCGGUCCCUGGAAGGAGAGACCGGUCCCCCAAUGAGCAGUGUUGAGGCAGCCUGAGGCAACCGGUCCCUGGCAGGCGAGACCGGUCCCCGAGUGCGUCUUCGCAGUGAGAGACCGGUCCUGCACGGGGAGAGACCGGUUCCCGAACGUUGGUUUUUCGGGUUCGCAGCGAGAGACCGGUCCCUGCUGGGGAGAGACCGGUCCCUCUGGGCGAAAACUGCCCAGACCGGGCUGAUGCAAUAUUGAUUUUUUGAGGGGCCUCUCCAGAUUUUGUUACACUAGAUGGGCUUAUUAGCCAUUUCCUCCUCUUCCCUCUCUCAUUUUCUCAUUCUCACCCUCUCCCUACACUUUCUAGAGAGAGAAGAAGAAGAAGAAGGAGGAGAGAAAGAAGAGGAGCUAGUUUGAGGGAGCUUGGAGCUCAACCCCAUUCUCUCUUUUCCACCUUUGCAAGGCUUGGAGCUUGCUUGUAGAGCUUGGUGGUGGGCCAAUCUUCAACCCUAAAAGAUUUAGAGCUUGUUUGGAGGCAUUUUGGGAGGUUAGUACUUGGAUUCUACCCUUUGAUCCUUGGUUUGGUAGGUUUUACCAUUUGGAACCCUAGAAUGGGUAUUAGGGUUGAUUUUUGGGGCUUUUUGAUUUAGGGCUUGUGGGGCUAGAUUGAUUGGAUUAGAGCCUUCCUUGAGCUUGGAUUGGAAGGGUUUUAGCUCUCUUUUGGAGCUUUAGAAGAGAUUUCUUCUCUUGAGGUGAAUUUUGGCCCUAUUUGUUUCUAAAUUGAUGUUUGAUCUCAUGGUUGGUCGUAAUACUCUCGUAUCUCUUCGCUGAUCACUUUUAGGGUAUCUUGAGGCUCGUGGACAACUCCGUUCGACGAAUCGAAGGAGCACGCGACGGUUCGGUGGGUUUGGCCUAGCAUACAAUAUGAGAAAUGCUCAUAUUUGGUGUUAAAUGUUUCGUAAAGUUGAAAUUCUUGCAUUUUCAUGUUAAAUGUAAUUAUUAUGAAUUUUAGAAUGCUUAACAUGCAUAGGUUAUGUGUAGUAAAUUUUGGGACCUCUAUAUAGUAGAGAACAUGCAUGUGCGGCCUAGCAUUCUAGUUGAGACUUGAAAUUAUAAUCCCUAUUAUGAAAACGAACCUUGCUUUCAUGCAUUCGAACUAUAUACCAGAUGUGACAUUAGGGAUUUUUGGAAGCCUAGAGAGGCUUAGGGACUUAGAUGAUAUGUGAGAUUCGGCCAAUGUCAUGAAGAGGCAUUGGGGCCCGGGGCAUAGUGAGCAUUAAUGUUAAUGUCUUAAUUGGAACAUGAUUAGUUGUGAAGCUUAAGUGUCAUAAAGAGGCACUAAGCAAGUGUGUGUUGGGACUUCACAUUAUGACUCUGAACUAGAUCUUCGGGAUGCUAGUGACUAUACCAUGUUAGAGACAUGAGGAUUGGGUACUUGAGACAGUGACCUUGCUUGUUUGCCAUUUGUGCUCAUUCGCACAUGCUUGUGAGGGUCGCUCCCCACAAGCCGGCACUCCGGAGUUGGCCUCUGCGACUUUCGUUCGCUCGUGCGGUAUUGAGACGCCUACGGGGUCGAGUGGGACCGACACAUUCCAUGUGUAGGAAUGUCGGGCUACCACAGGCACUUAGGCGGCACAAGCCGGACUACCUUGGGUAGAUCCUUAAUUGGAAAUGAAAAUCGACACGGUUUGAGAAUGAAUGAUCACUACUAGAUAGGCUUAGUAGUUGGAUUACAUUUACAUGCUUUUAGCAUAGUGUGAGACAUGUAGUAUACUUGGUUGCCAUGAUAGAACUUCUACAUCGUGUAUUGACAAAGGUUAACAACAUUAAACUAGUGCAAUUGGACUUAAUUGUAAUGAUAGAAUAGAUGUACAUUUUGGUUGACAUCAUGCUUACUUGAGACACAGUAGACUAGCAUUUCAAUUAUGCUUUCUUUUAGCAGUUUAUUCACAUGCUCCUUACUACUUAUUAUUAUCGUUGCUUACCCUUAUUUUUGGGUCCUAGUGGAGCAUGAGCUGAGGUCAGUAAUUGCCCACUGGGAACUAUAAAUUAUAGUUCUCACGCCCUCUUUUUUUUCGUUGUUUUUCAGAGCCUUCCACACAGGGUGAGGCCAGGGAUCGCGGAAAGAGUAUUAUCUCGGGCUAGCGUGCUUACCGAGGGAUCGUUUGAUAGGUGGUCUACCUCUCUUUGUUUCUUUUGUGAGAGGUUGAGAGUUAUACCGGUGUACUAGAGACCACCAUUUUUGUACUAGAAGCAGAUAUUGUACUACUUAUGUUUCACUUUUAUGGUUUAGUUAUGCUCUUUUCCUAUUGUUAUAGAAGAUAGAAUCAUACUGCUCUGAUAUUAUUAGUUGUUACUCUUUCGUUUCUUUUACUUCUCGCUCUUACUUCCGCUUUUACUCUAGACGCCUUAUAUGUGUAGACAUAUGGCGGGUCUGAACACGCUACCGAGAGGGCCUCUGCCGAUCCCGGGGCGUGACACCACCCAAGCUUUUCCGGCGGCCGGGGGAGAUUACCGGCGGCCGGGGUACGCGCACGGCUAGGGCAGGAGCUGGCUGGUGUUGACUAGGGCAUAGCUAGGCAUUUGGGUCGGCUAGAUCUAGGGUUUCAUGCAAUGAAACCCUAGUCGCAACUUGUUUACAAGCGACAUUAUGGUUAAACGUCCCCCAAAGCUGAAUAUUUUCAGUUCAGACCCUGCUAGCACGUGUAAAAUGCACGAAUGCAUCCCCAUAACAGAUCCCGCGCAAGUCGGUUCAUAAAAUAUAACGACUUUUGUGAAUUUCCCGAUUUUCCACUCUCGACCCCUGAGCGAACAACAUGCAAUAUCCGACAAUCCGUUCAUCGGAUUUCCGAACGGAUCGCACCAUCGCGAUCAGCACAACGAGGGCAUCCAAACUACCAUCUUGUUUUGUCAGAUUUGGUCACGGAUUCGCGACGGAACCCACCCGCUCUCUAAUUAAUCCGUAUAUCGCGCAUAUACCGAAGUAUAAACCCUAAAACCUUUAAUCCAAAUUCAAAUUUGAAUUCCCUACCACCAGUAGGUACCAGAAACAACUCUCACCUAAUCCCAGGUCACAAGCACAGAGCACGAGGAGUUUUAAAAUGCACGAAUAGCAAAGAGCGGAAACCCUCUUUUUGUUAAAACUCCUUUUUCUCGAAAACCGUGCAUCGGAUCUGAAA
This 4213-nucleotide long non-coding RNA is filed under the name Ananas comosus (pineapple). RNAcentral describes it as "long non-coding RNA (ACOM_LNC005720)". Lineage: Eukaryota; Viridiplantae; Streptophyta; Magnoliopsida; Poales; Bromeliaceae. The record is from RNAcentral.